This 377-nucleotide ribosomal RNA is filed under the name Bacteroidetes bacterium UBF7. Its description in RNAcentral is "partial 16S ribosomal RNA". It matches the Rfam family "Bacterial small subunit ribosomal RNA", at positions 67 to 441 of the family's 1533-position model. The record is from RNAcentral. Lineage: Bacteria; Pseudomonadati; Bacteroidota.
GNAACAGGGGCGCUUGCGCCCGCUGACGACCGGCGCACGGCCUGCGUAACGCGUAUGCAAUCUACCUUUUACAGGGGGAUAGCCCANAGAAAUUUGGAUUAAUACCUCAUAGCAUAUGGUCUUGGCAUCAAGACCAUAUUAAAGAUUUAUCGGUAAAAGAUGAGCAUGCGUUCUAUUAGCUGGAUGGUAAGGUAACGGCUUANCAUGGCGACGAUAGAUAGGNGCCCUGAGAGGGGGAUCCCCCACACUGGUACUGAGACACGGACCAGACUCCUACGGGAGGCANNAGUGANGAAUAUUGNACAAUGGGCGGGAGCCUGAUCCAGCCAUGCCGNGUGCAGGAAGACUGNCCUAUGGGUUGUAAACUGCUUUUGUAC